AUGGAAGAUGCAGGCAUGGAGUUCCUCCUCAUGCUGUUGACAGGUAAAAUAUUUUGGAUCCGAAAAAAAUUAGUACCGGUAGUAGAUUGCAUGCCGACUGGCUGUCAAAAUGGCCGCCAAUGCUCACACCCUAUUUUGAAAGGUUUCCCCUGCUUGAGGAAUUCACGGACAGCCAUGAGCAGCCGGAUCCGGUGCCUCUGGCUUUGCUGGCGAAUGGAGGAGCAGGAGCGGCGGUACAGGCGGAUUCUGAUGCUGGCUCUGAUUGUGGUUAGCAUAUCAGCGGCGACGGAAACGAUGCUGCGCGAGCUGGCGUUUGCCGACGACAGGAGAUGUCCCCCGCGAGGUCUGCGCUGUCUACUGACAGAGUAA
This 369-nucleotide ribosomal RNA is filed under the name Triticum aestivum (bread wheat). Its description in RNAcentral is "partial small subunit ribosomal RNA". The record is from RNAcentral. Lineage: Eukaryota; Viridiplantae; Streptophyta; Magnoliopsida; Poales; Poaceae.